RNAcentral lists this ribosomal RNA (908 nucleotides) under uncultured Bacillota bacterium. Its description in RNAcentral is "bacterial SSU rRNA". It matches the Rfam family "Bacterial small subunit ribosomal RNA", at positions 1 to 906 of the family's 1533-position model. The record is from RNAcentral. Lineage: Bacteria; Bacillati; Bacillota.
GGAUCCAGACUUUGAUUAUGGCUCAGGACGAACGCUGGCGGCGUGCCUAACACAUGCAAGUCGAACGGAACUUUUUUAAUUGACUUCUUCGGAAUGAUUUUGAUUAAGUUUAGUGGCGGACGGGUAAGUAACGCGUGAGUAACCUACCUCUAAGAGGGGAAUAACAUUCUGAAAAGAAUGCUAAUACCGCAUAAUAUAUAUUUAUCGCAUGGUAGAUAUAUCAAAGAUUUAUCGCUUAGAGAUGGACUCGCGUCCGAUUAGUUAGUUGGUGAGGUAACGGCUCACCAAGACCGCGAUCGGUAGCCGGACUGAGAGGUUGAACGGCCACAUUGGGACUGAGACACGGCUCAGACUCCUACGGGAGGCAGCAGUGGGGGAUAUUGCGCAAUGGGGGAAACCCUGACGCAGCAACGCCGCGUGAAGGAUGAAGGUCUUCGGAUUGUAAACUUCUUUUAUUAAGGACGAAGAAAGUGACGGUACUUAAUGAAUAAGCUCCGGCUAACUACGUGCCAGCAGCCGCGGUAAUACGUAGGGAGCAAGCGUUGUCCGGAUUUACUGGGUGUAAAGGGUGCGUAGGCGGCUUUGCAAGUCAGAUGUGAAAUCUAUGGGCUCAACCCAUAGCCUGCAUUUGAAACUGCAGAGCUUGAGUGAAGUAGAGGCAGGCGGAAUUCCCCGUGUAGCGGUGAAAUGCGUAGAGAUGGGGAGGAACACCAGUGGCGAAGGCGGCCUGCUGGGCUUUAACUGACGCUGAGGCACGAAAGCGUGGGUAGCAAACAGGAUUAGAUACCCUGGUAGUCCACGCUGUAAACGAUGAUUACUAGGUGUGGGGGGUCUGACCCCUUCCGUGCCGGAGUUAACACAAUAAGUAAUCCACCUGGGGAGUACGGCCGCAAGGUUGCAACUCAAAG